GCUUUUAUCCAAGGAGCUCAGAGUCUUUUACAGCAGAUAUUACUUACUUUUAUAGAGCUUCAAAGGUGUCAUCAAAUGAAGAUGAGGUCAUGCUGGAUGAUGGUGGGCCCUCAAUCCAAUAUGAGUAGUGUUCAUUAAAGAAGAAAAAAAAUUGGACCUAAAGAUACAGAAAAACAGGAAGAAGACCACAUGAUGAUGGGGGCAGAAAUUGGAGUGUGCAGCUCCAAAUCAAGGAACACCAAGGAUUGCUGCUGCCACCGGAAGCCAGGGGAGAAGCAUGGAAUGGGUUCUGCCUGAGACCCUCCAGAAGGACCCAAUCCUAUCAUCAUCUUGAUUUCAGACUUCUGGCCUCCUGAACUACAAAAGAAUAAAUUUCUGUUGUUUUAAACCACCUGGUUUAAGGUACAUUUUUUAUGGCAGCCUGAGGAACUAACACAAUUUGUG
RNAcentral lists this long non-coding RNA (444 nucleotides) under Homo sapiens (human). RNAcentral describes it as "HSALNT0298211". The record is from RNAcentral. Lineage: Eukaryota; Metazoa; Chordata; Mammalia; Primates; Hominidae.